GGGUCAGUAGGUUGGUCGUGCCACCGGUACGUACUGGUCUCACUGAUUCCUCCUUCCCGAAGAACCGUAAUGCCAUUAAUUUGGUGUUGCGGGGAAACAGGACUGUUACUUUGAAAAAAUUAGAGUGUUUAAAGCAAGCUAACGCUUGGAUACAUUAGCAUGGAAUAAUGAAAUAGGACGAUCGAUCCUAUUUUGUUGGUUUCUAGGAUUGACGUA
This 216-nucleotide ribosomal RNA is filed under the name Glomeromycotina sp. RNAcentral's name for it is "partial small subunit ribosomal RNA". The stretch from base 75 to 216 matches the Rfam family "Eukaryotic small subunit ribosomal RNA", at positions 721 to 864 of the family's 1831-position model. Lineage: Eukaryota; Fungi; Glomeromycota. The record is from RNAcentral.